AACGAACGUUAGCGACGCGCCUAACACAUGCAAGUCGAGCGAGAAAGGGAGCAAUCCCCGGUACAGCGGCGCACGGGUGAGUAACACGUAGGUAAUCUGCCUCCGAGUGGGGGAUAACCUUCCGAAAGGAGGGCUAACACCGCAUAAGACCACGACUCCGAGAGGGGAUGAGGUCAAAGCCGGCCACUAUACAUAAGCUGGCGCUUGGAGAUGAGCCUGCGGCCCAUCAGCUAGUUGGCAGGGUAACGGCCUACCAAGGCGAAGACGGGUAGCUGGUCUGAGAGGAUGAUCAGCCACACUGGAACUGAGACACGGUCCAGACUCCUACGGGAGGCAGCAGUGGGGAAUCUUGCGCAAUGGGCGAAAGCCUGACGCAGCGACGCCGCGUGAGUGAUGAAGGCCUUCGGGUUGUAAAGCUCUGUGGAGGGGGAAAGAAUAAGGCAUGGCUAACAUCCAUGUCGAUGACGGUACCCCUUUAGCAAGCACCGGCUAACUCUGUGCCAGCAGCCGCGGUAAGACAGAGGGUGCAAACGUUGUUCGGAAUUACUGGGCGUAAAGCGCGUGUAGGCGGCUUGGCAAGUCGGGUGUGAAAGCCCUGGGCUCAACCUAGGAAGUGCAACUCGCAAUGCCUCGCUGGAGUGCCGGAG
This 647-nucleotide ribosomal RNA is filed under the name uncultured bacterium. RNAcentral describes it as "bacterial SSU rRNA". It matches the Rfam family "Bacterial small subunit ribosomal RNA", at positions 28 to 654 of the family's 1533-position model. The record is from RNAcentral.